This 495-nucleotide ribosomal RNA is filed under the name uncultured microorganism. Its description in RNAcentral is "bacterial SSU rRNA". It matches the Rfam family "Bacterial small subunit ribosomal RNA", at positions 9 to 494 of the family's 1533-position model. The record is from RNAcentral.
GAGUUUGAUCAUGGCUCAGGAUGAACGCCGGCGGUGUGCCUAAUACAUGCAAGUCGUACGCACUGGCCCAACUGGUUGAUGGUGCUUGCACCUGAUCGACGAUGGAUCACCAGUGAGUGGCGGACGGGUGAGUAACACGUAGGUAACCUGCCCUGUACAGGGGGAUAACAAUCAGAAAUGACUGCUAAUACCGCAUAAGACCACAGCACCGCAUGGUGCAGGGGUAAAAACUCCGGUGGUACAGGAUGGACCCGCGUCUGAUUAGCUGGUUGGUGAGGUAACGGCUCACCAAGGCGACGAUCAGUAGCCGGCUUGAGAGAGUGAACGGCCACAUUGGGACUGAGACACGGCCCAAACUCCUACGGGAGGCAGCAGUGGGGAAUAUUGCACAAUGGGGAAACCCUGAUGCAGCAACGCCGCGUGAGUGAAGAGUAUUUCGGUAUGUAAAGCUCUAUCAGCAGGGAAGAAAGUGACGGUACCUGACUAAGAAGCCCC